RNAcentral lists this ribosomal RNA (524 nucleotides) under Lasiodiplodia pseudotheobromae. RNAcentral's name for it is "eukaryotic LSU rRNA". The stretch from base 158 to 311 matches the Rfam family "5.8S ribosomal RNA". Lineage: Eukaryota; Fungi; Ascomycota; Dothideomycetes; Botryosphaeriales; Botryosphaeriaceae. The record is from RNAcentral.
GACCUGCGGAAGGAUCAUUACCGAGUUUUCGGGCUUCGGCUCGACUCUCCCACCCUUUGUGAACGUACCUCUGUUGCUUUGGCGGCUCCGGCCGCCAAAGGACCUCCAAACUCCAGUCAGUAAACGCAGACGUCUGAUAAACAAGUUAAUAAACUAAAACUUUCAACAACGGAUCUCUUGGUUCUGGCAUCGAUGAAGAACGCAGCGAAAUGCGAUAAGUAAUGUGAAUUGCAGAAUUCAGUGAAUCAUCGAAUCUUUGAACGCACAUUGCGCCCCUUGGUAUUCCGGGGGGCAUGCCUGUUCGAGCGUCAUUACAACCCUCAAGCUCUGCUUGGAAUUGGGCACCGUCCUCACUGCGGACGCGCCUCAAAGACCUCGGCGGUGGCUGUUCAGCCCUCAAGCGUAGUAGAAUACACCUCGCUUUGGAGCGGUUGGCGUCGCCCGCCGGACGAACCUUCUGAACUUUUCUCAAGGUUGACCUCGGAUCAGGUAGGGAUACCCGCUGAACUUAAGCAUAUCAAUAG